This 216-nucleotide ribosomal RNA is filed under the name uncultured bacterium. RNAcentral's name for it is "partial 16S ribosomal RNA". It matches the Rfam family "Bacterial small subunit ribosomal RNA", at positions 524 to 740 of the family's 1533-position model. The record is from RNAcentral.
UACAGAGGUGGCAAGCGUUGUUCGGAAUUACUGGGCGUAAAGGGCGCGUAGGCGGCCUUCUAAGUCAGACGUGAAAUCCCCCGGCUUAACCUGGGAACUGCGUCUGAUACUGGGAGGCUUGAGUAUGGGAGAGGGAUGUAGAAUUCCAGGUGUAGCGGUGAAAUGCGUAGAUAUCUGGAGGAAUACCGGUGGCGAAGGCGGCAUCUGGACCAUAAC